Molecule: non-coding RNA, 489 nt
Filed under: Beta vulgaris subsp. vulgaris (sugar beet)
Lineage: Eukaryota; Viridiplantae; Streptophyta; Magnoliopsida; Caryophyllales; Amaranthaceae
Description: Bacterial large subunit ribosomal RNA
Rfam family: Bacterial large subunit ribosomal RNA
Source: Rfam by way of RNAcentral
AUGUGGAAGCGGCGUCGCUCAACGGAUAAAAGGUACCCCGGGGAUAACAGGCUGAUCUUCCCCAAGAGUCCAUAUCGACGGGAUGGUUUGGCACCUCGAUGUCGGCUCGUCGCAUCCUGGGGCUGGAGUAGGUCCCAAGGGUUGGGCUGUUCGCCCAUUAAAGCGGCACGCGAGCUGGGUUUAGAACGUCGUGAGACAGUUCGGUCCCUAUCCGCCGCGCGCGAGGAAACUUGAGAAAGGCUGUCCCUAGUACGAGAGGACCGGGAUGGACGAACCUCUGGUGUGCCAGUUGUCCCGCCAGGGGCACGGCUGGUUGGCUACGUUCGGGAGUGAUAACCGCUGAAUGCAUCUAAGCGGGAAGCACGUUUCAAGAUGAGGUUUCCCACCACGAGAGUGGUAAGGCCCCCAGCAGACCACUGGGUUGAUAGGCCGGAGGUGUACAGCAGUGAUGCCCAGCCGACCGGUACUAAUAGGCCGAGGCUUGCCACC